GACGAACGCUGGCGGCGUGCUUAACACAUGCAAGUCGAACGGAAAGGCCCCUUUGGGGGUACUCGAGUGGCGAACGGGUGAGUAACACGUGAGUAACCUGCCCUUGACUUCGGGAUAACUUCGGGAAACUGGGGCUAAUACCGGAUAGGAAUCCUUGCUGCAUGGUGGGGGUUGGAAAGCUUCGGCGGUUUGGAUGGACUCGCGGCUUAUCAGCUUGUUGGUGGGGUAGUGGCUUACCAAGGCUUUGACGGGUAGCCGGCCUGAGAGGGCGACCGGCCACAUUGGGACUGAGAUACGGCCCAGACUCCUACGGGAGGCAGCAGUGGGGAAUAUUGCACAAUGGGCGGAAGCCUGAUGCAGCAACGCCGCGUGCGGGAUGACGGCCUUCGGGUUGUAAACCGCUUUCAGCAGGGGCGAAGCUUGUGGUGACGGUACCUGCAGAAGAAGCACCGGCUAACUACGUG
RNAcentral lists this ribosomal RNA (464 nucleotides) under uncultured bacterium. RNAcentral describes it as "partial 16S ribosomal RNA". It matches the Rfam family "Bacterial small subunit ribosomal RNA", at positions 28 to 507 of the family's 1533-position model. The record is from RNAcentral.